Molecule: long non-coding RNA, 906 nt
Organism: Cyprinus carpio (common carp)
Lineage: Eukaryota; Metazoa; Chordata; Actinopteri; Cypriniformes; Cyprinidae
Exons: 3
Source: RefSeq, a predicted model, not a curated record
UAGAGGCUCAGGCGCUCCUCAAACCUGUCCAGAAGGAUACAUCAGCAGUAGAGAGAGACAGGCCAGCUGCAGCCUGUGUCCUCAGGGUUACUACUGUCCUGCCAAUGGUUCCUCCUCUGAGGGCAUUGAAUGCCCAGUGGGCCAUUAUUGCCCUAUGGGCACACAUCUACAAAAUCAGCACCCAUGUCCAGCAGGGACUAUUAAUCCCCAUACAAGAAUGAGCAGCCGUGAAGACUGUUUACCCUGCCCUCCAGGUACCAUUUCUACAAGCGACUGAACUCCUAUCAAGUAAUUUCUCAGUGUUACCCAUCUCCUAUUCUCAGAGGGUGAUGCUGCCCUAUUUCUUCAAACCAUUUGAGUCACACCAUUUUCAGUAACAGUCCCUUGUGCUUUCAGCAUCUGUCAAAACUCAGCUGAGAAAUGUCCCACAAACUUUCCACCCGGCAGGUUUCUUUUGCGAGUCUCCUGGACAGUGGGAUGUAUCUGGACCGUGUGCAGCUGGAUACUUUUGUCUCUCAGGAGCGGUGUCCCCCACACCUGUGGAUGGAGGAACGGGUGGUAGAUGUCCUCAAGGACACUACUGUCCCGUAGGGUCCUUGUCCCCUGAACCUUGUCCAGAAGGCUACUACAUCAACAGCAGCAGGAACACUAAGCUGUCUGACUGUCUGCCCUGCCCUCCAGGAUUUGCUUGUUCCAGUAGGGGGCUCUCCUCACCUUCUCAUGUGUGCCAGAGGGGCUACUACUGCCCACAGGGGCAAAUUUCCAGCCAUCCUGCUCACUUCAUCUGCUCACCUGGGCAUAUGUGUCCACCUGGCAGCCCUGCCCAGAUCCCCUGUCCGCUUGGGACAUACCAGAGCCUCCAGGGGCAGGUCAGUUGAGAGAGAGGCAUGAUUGUUUAACACCCUG